UACAGAGGUCCCGAGCGUUGUUCGGAUUCAUUGGGCGUAAAGGGUGCGUAGGCGGCUUUCUAAGUCUGAUGUGAAAUUCCGGGGCUCAACCCCGGAACUGCAUUGGAUACUGGGAGGCUAGAGUCCUGGAGAGGAAACUGGAAUUUACGGUGUAGCAGUGAAAUGCGUAGAUAUCGUAAGGAAGACCAGUGGCGAAGGCGAGUUUCUGGACAGGUACUGACGCUGAGGCACGAAGGCCAGGGGAGCAAACGGG
This 253-nucleotide ribosomal RNA is filed under the name uncultured bacterium. Its description in RNAcentral is "partial 16S ribosomal RNA". It matches the Rfam family "Bacterial small subunit ribosomal RNA", at positions 524 to 776 of the family's 1533-position model. The record is from RNAcentral.